This 219-nucleotide long non-coding RNA is filed under the name Vigna radiata. RNAcentral's name for it is "long non-coding RNA (VRAD_LNC008365)". The record is from RNAcentral. Lineage: Eukaryota; Viridiplantae; Streptophyta; Magnoliopsida; Fabales; Fabaceae.
AAAAAAGAAAACCAAAUUGCUUGUGUUAAAAUGAUAAUGAUUUGAGAGGGUAAUAAAAGUAAUUUGAAAGUAAGGGACUGUUAUUACUACAAAUCUUACCACUCAAUCAGAUAUUAUCUCAUCAUUACAAGAGUGUGAAAGCCAUUGACAGUGUGAAGUUGUUCCUAAUAAAUGUAAUAAUGUAUGAUUAAGCCAUAACACAAUAUUUUGCAGUGUCUG